Molecule: ribosomal RNA, 895 nt
Filed under: uncultured bacterium
Lineage: Bacteria
Description: bacterial SSU rRNA
Rfam family: Bacterial small subunit ribosomal RNA
Source: RNAcentral
GUGCCAGCAGCCGCGGUAAUACGCUAGGGUGCAAGCGUUGUCCGGAAUUAUUGGGCGUAAAGAGCUUGUAGGUGGUUUGUCGCGUCCGCUGUGAAAUUUCGAGGCUCAACCUCGAACUUGCAGUGGGUACGGGCAGACUAGAGUGUGGUAGGGGAGACUGGAAUUCCUGGUGUAGCGGUGAAAUGCGCAGAUAUCAGGAGGAACACCGAUGGCGAAGGCAGGUCUCUGGGCCAUAACUGACACUGAGAAGCGAAAGCAUGGGGAGCAAACAGGAUUAGAUACCCUGGUAGUCCAUGCCGUAAACGUUGGGCGCUAGGUGUGGGGCUCAUUCCACGAGUUCCGUGCCGCAGCUAACGCAUUAAGCGCCCCGCCUGGGGAGUACGGCCGCAAGGCUAAAACUCAAAGGAAUUGACGGGGGCCCGCACAAGCGGCGGAGCAUGCGGAUUAAUUCGAUGCAACGCGAAGAACCUUACCAAGGCUUGACAUAUACCGGAAACGGCCAGAAAUGGUCGCCCCGCAAGGUCGGUAUACAGGUGGUGCAUGGUUGUCGUCAGCUCGUGUCGUGAGAUGUUGGGUUAAGUCCCGCAACGAGCGCAACCCUCGUUCUAUGUUGCCAGCGCGUCAUGGCGGGGACUCAUAGGAGACUGCCGGGGUCAACUCGGAGGAAGGUGGGGAUGACGUCAAAUCAUCAUGCCCCUUAUGUCUUGGGCUUCACGCAUGCUACAAUGGCCAGUACAAAGGGCUGCGAGACCGCAAGGUGGAGCGAAUCCCAAAAAACUGGUCUCAGUUCGGAUUGGGGUCUGCAACUCGACCCCAUGAAGUCGGAGUCGCUAGUAAUCGCAGAUCAGCAACGCUGCGGUGAAUACGUUCCCGGGCCUUGCACACACCGCCCGUC